Molecule: long non-coding RNA, 612 nt
Organism: Coccinella septempunctata (seven-spotted ladybird)
Lineage: Eukaryota; Metazoa; Arthropoda; Insecta; Coleoptera; Coccinellidae
Exons: 2
Source: RefSeq, a predicted model, not a curated record
UCAGUUACAUCUGCAGCUAUCAGCUCCUUAAUGAUGACUCUUAACCGAUACUUCAGUGAGAUGAGUUACGUUACAGCAUACAACAGUUCUGAAUUGGGUAGGGUUCAGUCAGGGAGUUGUUGGAAGGAUUAGACUCAGAUGCAAGGGCAUCCAGCCUAAAGGGUUGGAGACGCAGUUACAAUGGUACCCGGCCUCAGGGGAGAGAGACGCAGCUGCAAGGGCAGCCGGCCUCAGAAAUCGACGCAGAUACAACGGUAUCCGGCCUAAAGGGUUAGAGACGCAGUUACAACGGUACCCGGCCUCAGGGGAGAGAGACGCAGCUGCAAGGGCAUCCGGCCUCAGAAAUCGACGCAGAUACAACGGUAUCCGGCCUAAAGGGUUAGAGACGCAGUUACAACGGUACCCGGCCUCAGGGGAGAGAGACGCAGCUGCAAGGGCAUCCGGCCUCAGAAAUCGACGCAGGCACAAGGGUACCCGGCCUGCAGGAUACUAGGAAGGGCAAAAUCCACAAAAGUUGUAUGUUUGUCCCGUAACACAAAUAUGAAUUAUUUCCGCUCCUGGCUAUCACGUUCAAAUAUGUCCUGUAUUGACCAACUCCACCAGUGAAGAGAA